AUGCACUCCUUGGGUUUGGAAGCUUCCCUCCGAGAUGCUGAGCCUGACAUUUGGGGAAAGCCAGGGAAACAGAUGCUGGGUCAGUGCUCCUCCCACUUCUCCCCUCCUAAGAGCUCCACUGAGUCACCAGCCAGCAAACACCCCAUGCCCGCUGGAAGAGAUGGACUGUGGGCACACGAGCCUCUGCAUGGGCACCGUAUCGUUUUGGCCUCACCCAAUCACCUGGCUAAGCACUCAUCAGUGGAAAUACCUGAAGAAGGAACUGUUCGCUUGGACUAAUGGUUGCUGAUCUGCGCGGACGAUGUAAUCUGCACCACAGUCUAACUUUCCCUUUUACAUGGUGACGUAUUUUAUAUGGAAACAAACCAACAGAUGUCUUUAACACUUCAGUUCCAACAUAGACAAAUUCAAGACUCUUGCCAUCUAGUUUGAAUAAAGGCUAACCUAAGCGGAGGCCAUGAGACAUCAUAGGGUCUCAUUGCUAAGUGUUUCAUGCUUGAGAGAAAGGUGGUCUUGAGGCUCUUGGCUGUGUGUCCCAGCGUCUUUUCCCUUCCCCCUCCUUUUGUGGUAACAAUCCCUCCUUCCUGUGGGGACUUCUUCUCUGCUCUGGGCCACCCAGGUGGGGCCGUGAGCUCCAGUGUGCUGCACCUUUCUGGCCACAGGGAGAAGUGUGUGACCCCACAUUAUUCAGCGGCCACAAUGUAGCCUCCAGACAUAGUGGUGAAUCCCAGGAGUAGACUGUGGCUCUCCUAGAUUUGGUGGGUGCCUCAGAUGCCUCCUGAGUCUGCCCCAGGGUGAAUGUAAGGAUGGUAGAAGAAAGAAACUAUCUCUCUUUCGCUCCCUCUGGGGGGUGGCUA
Molecule: long non-coding RNA, 857 nt
Filed under: Papio anubis (olive baboon)
Lineage: Eukaryota; Metazoa; Chordata; Mammalia; Primates; Cercopithecidae
Description: lncRNA (ENSPANG00000041867.1)
Source: RNAcentral